Long non-coding RNA from Poecilia latipinna (sailfin molly), 110 nucleotides. RefSeq lists it as uncharacterized. The transcript has 3 exons. The record is from RefSeq and is a predicted model, not a curated record. Lineage: Eukaryota; Metazoa; Chordata; Actinopteri; Cyprinodontiformes; Poeciliidae.
GAGCUGAGUUGGGGAGGAGAUUCGUCAUUGAAGGCGGGGCUACGUCCAUCCAGGCGUUUUGCACAGCUGAAUGGUUGCCAUGGAGAUUCAAGGAUUUCUCAAACAUGCAU